GUAAGGGAAGAACGUUAUUAGUAGGAAAUGGCUAAUAAGUGACGGUACCUUACCAGAAGGGACGGCUAACUACGUGCCAGCAGCCGCGGUAAUACGUAGGUCCCGAGCGUUAUCCGGAAUUAUUGGGCGUAAAGGGCACGUAGGCGGACAAAUAAGUUUGAUGUCAAAUAUGAUGGCUCAACCAUCAAGAGGCGUUGAAAACUGUUUAUCUAGAAUCUCGGAGAGGUAAGUGGAAUUCCAUGUGUAGCGGUGGAAUGCGUAGAUAUAUGGAGGAACACCAAUGGCGAAGGCAGCUUACUGGACGAAGAUUGACGCUGAGGUGCGAAAGCGUGGGUAGCAAACAGGAUUAGAUACCCUGGUAG
RNAcentral lists this ribosomal RNA (362 nucleotides) under uncultured bacterium. RNAcentral describes it as "bacterial SSU rRNA". It matches the Rfam family "Bacterial small subunit ribosomal RNA", at positions 438 to 793 of the family's 1533-position model. The record is from RNAcentral.